This 814-nucleotide ribosomal RNA is filed under the name uncultured Nitrospinaceae bacterium. RNAcentral's name for it is "bacterial SSU rRNA". It matches the Rfam family "Bacterial small subunit ribosomal RNA", at positions 9 to 834 of the family's 1533-position model. The record is from RNAcentral. Lineage: Bacteria; Pseudomonadati; Nitrospinota; Nitrospinia; Nitrospinales; Nitrospinaceae.
UAGUUUGAUACUGGCUCAGAACGAACGCUGGCGGCGUGCCUAACACAUGCAAGUCGAACGAGAAAGUUUCUUCGGAAUGAGUAAAGUGGCGCAAGGGUGAGUAACACGUGAAUAAUCUGCCUUCGAGCCUGGGAUAACUUGACGAAAGUUAAGCUAAUACCGGAUAAGACCACGCUUCAUAAGGAGUGCGGUAAAAGGGGUCUCAAACCCUACUUGAAGAUGAGUUCGCGUACCAUUAGCUUGUUGGUGAGAUAACAGCUCACCAAGGCGACGAUGGUUAGCCGGCCUGAGGGGGUGAUCGGCCACACUGGAACUGAGACACGGUCCAGACUCCUACGGGAGGCAGCAGUGGGGAAUCUUGCGCAAUGGGCGAAAGCCUGACGCAGCAACGCCGCGUGAGCGAUGAAGGCCUUCGGGUCGUAAAGCUCUGUCAAGUGGGAAGAACACAAUGACGGUACCACUAGAGGAAGCCCCGGCUAACUUCGUGCCAGCAGCCGCGGUAAUACGAAGGGGGCAAGCGUUGUUCGGAAUUAUUGGGCGUAAAGCGUGUGUAGGUGGUCUUUCAAGUCAGACGUGUAAGCCCUCGGCUCAACCGAGGAAUUGCGUUUGAAACUGAUUGACUUGAGUGUAGGAGAGGAAAGCGGAAUUCCCAGUGUAGCGGUGAAAUGCGUUGAUAUUGGGAAGAACACCGGUGGCGAAGGCGGCUUUCUGGCCUACUACUGACACUGAGAUACGAAAGCCAGGGGAGCAAAGGGGAUUAGAUACCCCCGUAGUCCUGGCUGUAAACGAUGGGCACUAGGUGCGGGGGGUAUUG